Molecule: signal recognition particle RNA, 266 nt
Filed under: Clostridia bacterium
Lineage: Bacteria; Bacillati; Bacillota; Clostridia
Description: signal recognition particle sRNA large type
Rfam family: Bacterial large signal recognition particle RNA
About the family: The signal recognition particle (SRP) is a universally conserved ribonucleoprotein involved in the co-translational targeting of proteins to membranes. Archaeal SRP consists of a 7S RNA and homologues of the eukaryotic SRP19 and SRP54 proteins.
Source: RNAcentral
CCAUACCAGCCGGGGAGAUAGCGGAGCCCUGUACCUGCAACCCGCUACAGCAGGGGUGGAUCCCCCUCCUGAGAGUGAAUCUUCUCCGAAUUGAGUUCUUUUUCUUGUGUUGACGAACGGGUCUCGCGCAAUGCGGAGCCGUGAACCAUGUCAGGUGAGGGAUCAAGCAGCAUUAAGCGGUAAACCGUAUGUGCCGCGAGGUUGCCUGUUCUGAGCAAGGAACUGAAAGAUCGCGGGGGCGUGAAACCCGAAGUUGGGGUGUAUGG